This 469-nucleotide ribosomal RNA is filed under the name uncultured bacterium. RNAcentral's name for it is "partial 16S ribosomal RNA". It matches the Rfam family "Bacterial small subunit ribosomal RNA", at positions 28 to 507 of the family's 1533-position model. The record is from RNAcentral.
GACGAACGCUGGCGGCGUGCUUAACACAUGCAAGUCGAACGGAAAGGCCCUGCUUGCAGGGUGCUCGAGUGGCGAACGGGUGAGUAACACGUGGGUGAUCUGCCCCUUACUUUGGGAUAAGCCUGGGAAACUGGGUCUAAUACUGGAUAGGACCAUGCUGUAGGUGGUGUGGUGGAAAGAUUAGUUUCGGUAAGGGAUGAGCUCGCGGCCUAUCAGCUUGUUGGUGGGGUAAUGGCCUACCAAGGCGUCGACGGGUGGCCGGCCUGAGAGGGUGGACGGCCGCAUUGGGACUGAGAUACGACCCAGACUCCUACGAGAGGCAGCAGUGGGGAAUAUUGCACAAUAGGGGCAAGCCGGAUGCAGCGACGCCGCGUGGGGGGUGACGGCCUUCGGGUUGUAAACUCCUUUCAGCCAUGACGAAGCCCUUGUGGUGACGGUAGUGGUAGAAGAAGCACCGGCUAACUACGUG